This 1888-nucleotide long non-coding RNA is filed under the name Salmo salar (Atlantic salmon). RNAcentral's name for it is "lncRNA (ENSSSAG00000094647.1)". Lineage: Eukaryota; Metazoa; Chordata; Actinopteri; Salmoniformes; Salmonidae. The record is from RNAcentral.
CCCAAAUCCAGAGGUUGAAAGUUCAAAUCACCAGGUGGGGUCAUACUGAAAAGUCAGUACUAAGUGAUCAUGUCAAAUGUUGUUAUUGAUUAAAAGUCUUAGCUGAACAGUGUACCAUCUACCUUAAAACCCCUGUAUUAUUUCAAAUCAAAUGUGUUGAUAAAGCCUUUCUUACAUCAACUGAUAUCGCAAAGUGCUGUACAGAAACCCAGCCUAAAACCCCAAACAGCAAGCAAUGCAGGUAUAGAAGCAUGGUGGCUAGGAAAAAUCCCUAGAAAGGCCAGAACUUAGGAAGAAACCUAGAGAGGAACCAGGCAUAACACAAUUAUUUAACUUGCUUAUUGGGACAUCUGGGACCAUCAUGUGACAUAAACCUUCAGGGGACCGUGACACAAGAACGUCAUAAAAACAUUCCAGGGACAAACCGGGAACUAGACAAAACCUCCAGUGGACCAUGAAACAAGGUCCCAAGAACAUUCAGGUGACCUUCAGGGAACUAUAACACAACGUUCAGAUGACCUUCAGGAGACCAUAACACAACGUUCAGGUGACCUUCAGGAGACUAUGACACAAUGUUCAGGUGACCUUCAGGAAACCAUAAUACAACGUUCAGGUGACAUUCAGAGGACCAUAACACAACGUUGAGGUGACCUUCAGGAGACCAUGAGACAAUUUUCAGGUGACCUUCAGGAGACCAUAAGACAACGUUCAGGUGACCUUCAGGAGACCAUAACACAACGUUCAGGUGACCUUCAGGAGACUAUGACACAAUGUUCAGAUGACCUUCAGGAGACCAUAACACAACGUUCAGGUGACAUUCAGGAGACCAUAAGACAACGUUCAGCUGACCUUCAGGGGACCAUGACACAAUGUUCAGGUGACCUUCAGGGGACCAAGACACAACGUCUCAAGAACAUUCAGGUGAUCUUCCAGAGACCAUGACACAACGUUCAGGUGACUUUCAGGAGACCAUAACACAACGUUCAGGUGACCUUCAGGGGACCAUGACACAACGUCUUAAUUAAGAACGUCCAAAAAAAACCUUCCUGGGUCAAACCAGGAACUGUAAAAUGGUCCCCCAGAGAACGCUCCUUUGGAACCAUCAUGCGACGUCCUAAGGAGUAGUAAAAUGUAAUUCCUAGGAACAUAAUAAAAAAAGGGUCCUGACAUGGUCCUCAGCAUCGUCCUGGGAACAUUCAAAGAACUAGACAAUGGUCCCCCCCCCAGAGAUCGGUUCCCUUGUGACCAUUGCACAAUCUUCAAUGUUCAGAAUAUUAGUGGGAUAAGAUUGCUCAGAAACCCUUAAAGUGACCUAAUGGGAUUGUCCUCAAGAUGUCCCGUUUGCUGGUGUUCCCAGACCUAGGAAUGGGCCCUGCGUGGGAUUGCUACGAUACCGAUGACAGACUGAAGGGCAGGUCAGUCUCCUGCAGCUCAUGAAGGACAAAAGGUAGUUAUAAGUCAAGGCUGCCAAGCCUCUGGCAAUAAGGAGGACAAAGUGCUCACCCCCCCCCACAAUGAUGGUCUUUCAUCUCUACAGGCAGGAAUGGAGUGAUAGGAUCAGGAGGAGUGAAGAAAGAGUCAUUGUGCCCCCUUAACCCCUCUCUCUGUUACCCCAAACUAACCUGCUAAUAGUCCCAGGGACAUUGAGGUCACCGUCAGAGACCUAAACAUCUGUUCUGUGGCCCUGGUGUACAGUUUGCUGCUCCACUAUUUUAUAUCAUGUUAUAUUUUUACAUUUUUUACAUUUUAGUCAUUUAGCAGACGCUCUUAUCCAGAGCGACUUACAGUAGUGAAUACAUACAUUUCAUACAUUACAUGUCAUUCAUUUAUUUAUUUAUUUAUUUAUUUUUCUUUCCUGUGCUGGCCCCCCGUGGAGACAUGGUAAUAG